CGUGGGUAAUCUACCCUUGGAUGGGGGAUAGCACUAGGAAACUAGUAGUAAUACCGCAUAUUAUCACUUUUUCAUAAGAGAUAGUGACUAAAGGCGCCCUCUGCAUAUGGUGUCGUCCGAGGAUGAGCCCGCGGGCUAUUAGCUAGUUGGUGAGGUAAUGGCUCACCAAGGCUACGACGGCUAGCCGGCCUGAGAGGGUGUACGGCCACAUUGGGACUGAGAUACGGCCCAG
RNAcentral lists this ribosomal RNA (232 nucleotides) under uncultured bacterium. Its description in RNAcentral is "partial 16S ribosomal RNA". It matches the Rfam family "Bacterial small subunit ribosomal RNA", at positions 116 to 334 of the family's 1533-position model. The record is from RNAcentral.